CACUUGUAUACAUAUCUCCAAUCUCCCGAUCAUCAUUUUUCUUCCUUAUUAGCUUCUUUAAUUUUAUCACUCAAUAUAAUUCUGGUCGCCGAAGAUGCUGGCAAGCGGUUGGUCUAACCAGAAGACACCUGUAUUUAUAGUCUUCGUUUGGUUCACCGAAUA
Ipomoea nil (Japanese morning glory) is the source of this 162-nucleotide long non-coding RNA. RefSeq lists it as uncharacterized. The transcript is spliced from 3 exons. Lineage: Eukaryota; Viridiplantae; Streptophyta; Magnoliopsida; Solanales; Convolvulaceae. The record is from RefSeq and is a predicted model, not a curated record.